Molecule: ribosomal RNA, 451 nt
Filed under: uncultured yeast
Lineage: Eukaryota; Fungi
Description: partial large subunit ribosomal RNA
Rfam family: Eukaryotic large subunit ribosomal RNA
Source: RNAcentral
CGGAGCGGCGCGGCGCAGCGGCCUCGCAAGUCCCUUGGAAGAGGGCGCCGGAGAGGGUGAGAGCCCCGUGGCGAGGCGCGGUGUGUUGUGCGAUUUGCGUUCGAAGAGUCGGGCUGUUUGAGAUCGCAGCACAAAGCGGGAGGUAAAUUUCUUCCAAAGCUAAGUAUGGGCGGGAGGCCGAUAGUGGAAAAGUAGAGCGAUCGAAAGAUGAAAAGAACUUUGAAAAGAGAGUGAAAAGGACCUGAAAUUGUUGAAAGGGAAGAGAUUCGCGGCAGUGGGAACGGUGCGGCGUGGCGAACAACGCGACGCGGCACGGUCUGCAUGGCUUGCCGGCGCCGGAGACGGUCCGCGGAACAAGGUAGGCAUCUCUGCGGAGUGCUGUUAUAGAUCUGGGGACGGUGCGGGCGCGCGGGGAGCGAGGAGGUUAGGAGAUGCAGGCGAAAUGGCGCGA